RNAcentral lists this ribosomal RNA (111 nucleotides) under Oryza glaberrima (African rice). RNAcentral's name for it is "rRNA EPlOGLG00000000439". The record is from RNAcentral. Lineage: Eukaryota; Viridiplantae; Streptophyta; Magnoliopsida; Poales; Poaceae.
UGGGGAGAAUUGGAUGUAGCUUUUUCUGUAGAUGUCCAUGGAUAUAUAAUUUACCUGAUUCCAAGUCCGUAUAAGAAAGUUUUGCCUAUAUUAAGGAAUGACACUCGAAUG